RNAcentral lists this ribosomal RNA (464 nucleotides) under uncultured bacterium. RNAcentral's name for it is "partial 16S ribosomal RNA". It matches the Rfam family "Bacterial small subunit ribosomal RNA", at positions 29 to 507 of the family's 1533-position model. The record is from RNAcentral.
ACGAACGCUGGCGGCGUGCUUAACCCAUGCAAGUCGAACGGAAAGGCCCCUUUGGGGGUACUCGAGUGGCGAACGGGUGAGUAACACGUGAGUAACCUGCCCUUGACUUCGGGAUAACUUCAGGAAACUGGGGCUAAUACCGGAUAGGAAUCCUUGCUGCAUGGUGGGGGUUGGAAAGCUUCGGCGGUUUUGGAUGGACUCGCGGCUUAUCAGCUUGUUGGUGGGGUAGUGGCUUACCAAGGCUUUGACGGGUAGCCGGCCUGAGAGGGCGACCGGCCACAUUGGGACUGAGAUACGGCCCAGACUCCUACGGGAGGCAGCAGUGGGGAAUAUUGCUCAAUGGGCGGAAGCCUGAUGCAGCAACGCCGCGUGCGGGAUGACGGCCUUCGGGUUGUAAACCGCUUUCAGCAGGGGCGAAGCUUGUGGUGACGGUACCUGCAGAAGAAGCACCGGCUAACUACGUG